CCCAAGAACUGGAGUGCUGAUGCAUUUUUUGUUUUAAACAGGUGUGUGUAGGAAAGCCAGAGCCCAAGAACUGGAGUGCUGAUGCAUUUUUUGUUUUAAACAGAAUAAAUCUGCCCUACUGCUGCAAUA
Long non-coding RNA from Xiphophorus maculatus (southern platyfish), 129 nucleotides. RefSeq lists it as uncharacterized. The record is from RefSeq and is a predicted model, not a curated record. The transcript is spliced from 2 exons. NCBI's taxonomy places the organism in Eukaryota, Metazoa, Chordata, Actinopteri, Cyprinodontiformes, Poeciliidae.